This 148-nucleotide non-coding RNA is filed under the name Gorilla gorilla gorilla (western lowland gorilla). The record is from Rfam by way of RNAcentral. Lineage: Eukaryota; Metazoa; Chordata; Mammalia; Primates; Hominidae.
GCUGGGUGCGGUGCCGCGUGCCUGUAAUCCCAGCUACUCGGGAGGCUGAGACAGGAGGAUUGCUUGAACCCGGAAGGCGGAGGUUGCAGUGAGCUGAGAUCACGCCACUGCACUCCAGCCUGGGCGACAGAGCAAGACUCUGUCUCAA